RNAcentral lists this ribosomal RNA (505 nucleotides) under uncultured bacterium. RNAcentral describes it as "partial 16S ribosomal RNA". It matches the Rfam family "Bacterial small subunit ribosomal RNA", at positions 29 to 523 of the family's 1533-position model. The record is from RNAcentral.
AACGAACGCUGGCGGCGUGUUUAAGACAUGCAAGUCGCACGGGAUUUUUUUGAGUAGCAAUACGAUGAAAAGUCCAGUGGCGCACGGGUGAGUAACACGUGAAUGACAUGCCCUUGAGAGGGGGAUAGCCCAGGGAAACUUGGAUUAAUACCCCAUGGUCUCGCGAGAGUAAAGGCGGCCGCAAGGCUGUCGCUCAAGGAUUGGUUCGCGGCCUAUCAGCUUGUUGGCGGGGUAACGGCCCACCAAGGCGACGACGGGUACCUGGUCUGAGAGGACGAUCAGGCACACUGGAACUGAGACACGGUCCAGACACCUACGGGUGGCAGCAGUCGAGAAUAAUUCACAAUGGGAGCAACCCUGAUGGUGCAACGCCGCGUGGAGGAUGAAGGUCUUCGGAUUGUAAACUCCUGUCAUCCGGGAGCAAGACCUGGCGGUUAACAGCCGACAGGGUUGAUAGUACCGGAAGAGGAAGGGACGGCUAACUUCGUGCCAGCAGCCGCCGCUG